UUAAGUUUUAUUAGGUUGUAUUUAGUUUGUCUUUAGUUGUUUUAAGUUGUAUUAAGUUUUAUUAGGUUGUAUAUAGUUUUAUUAGGUUGUAUAUAGUUUUAUUAAGUUGUAUUUAGUUGUUUUAGAUUUCAGGACGUUGCUGUGGUGAGAAAGGUCUCCUUGUCGCUGCACUGAGACUCAGCAGGGUGUCUGCACACAGAGAGUGGGCUGGAGGGGAUAUCGUGAACCUCCAACGUGUUUCGACCCCCAGUGAAGCUCCUCUGUGCAGAGAACUAAUAGGAUGGCCACACCAUGUCAGGAGGGUCCACAUGUCUGUCGCUGCCCACCCCAGUCUGACAAGAGUCCUCAGUGACAAGGAGAGGAGACAAGAGGAGAGGAGGUGGAGGGUGAGUAUGAACCCUUAUAUAGAAAAGGGAGAGGAGUGGAGGUGAUGGGUUAAUGUGAACCUCCUCUUUAAAAAGAGAGGAGAGAAGAGGAGAGGAGAGGAGGACAGGAGAGGAGGUGGAGGGCGAGUCUGAACCUUCUCUUUUAAAAGAGAGGAUAUGAGAGGAGACAAGGAGAGGAGAAGAGGAGAGGAGGUGGAGGGCGAGUGUGAACCUUAUCUAUUUAAAG
Molecule: long non-coding RNA, 612 nt
Organism: Anoplopoma fimbria (sablefish)
Lineage: Eukaryota; Metazoa; Chordata; Actinopteri; Perciformes; Anoplopomatidae
Exons: 4
Source: RefSeq, a predicted model, not a curated record